UGCAAGUCGAACGAUGAAGCUUCUAGCUUGCUAGAAGUGGAUUAGUGGCGCACGGGUGAGUAAGGUAUAGUUAAUCUGCCCUACACAAGAGGACAACAGUUGGAAACGACUGCUAAUACUCUAUACUCCUGCUUAACACAAGUUGAGUAGGGAAAGUUUUUCGGUGUAGGAUGAGACUAUAUAGUAUCAGCUAGUUGGUAAGGUAAUGGCUUACCAAGGCUAUGACGCUUAACUGGUCUGAGAGGAUGAUCAGUCACACUGGAACUGAGACACGGUCCAGACUCCUACGGGAGGCAGCAGUAGGGAAUAUUGCGCAAUGGGGGAAACCCUGACGCAGCAACGCCGCGUGGAGGAUGACACUUUUCGGAGCGUAAACUCCUUUUCUUAGGGAAGAAUUCUGACGGUACCUAAGGAAUAAGCACCGGCUAACUCCGUGCCAGCAGCCGCGGUAAUACGGAGGGUGCAAGCGUUACUCGGAAUCACUGGGCGUAAAGGGCGCGUAGGCGGAUUAUCAAGUCUCUUGUGAAAUCUAAUGGCUUAACCAUUAAACUGCUUGGGAAACUGAUAGUCUAGAGUGAGGGAGAGGCAGAUGGAAUUGGUGGUGUAGGGGUAAAAUCCGUAGAUAUCACCAAGAAUACCCAUUGCGAAGGCGAUCUGCUGGAACUCAACUGACGCUAAGGCGCGAAAGCGUGGGGAGCAAACAGGAUUAGAUACCCUGGUAGUCCACGCCCUAAACGAUGUACACUAGUUGUUGGGGUGCUAGUCAUCUCAGUAAUGCAGCUAACGCAUUAAGUGUACCGCCUGGGGAGUACGGUCGCAAGAUUAAAACUCAAAGGAAUAGACGGGGACCCGCACAAGCGGUGGAGCAUGUGGUUUAAUUCGAAGAUACGCGAAGAACCUUACCUGGGCUUGAUAUCCUAAGAACCUUUUAGAGAUAAGAGGGUGCUAGCUUGCUAGAACUUAGAGACAGGUGCUGCACGGCUGUCGUCAGCUCGUGUCGUGAGAUGUUGGGUUAAGUCCCGCAACGAGCGCAACCCACGUAUUUAGUUGCUAACGGUUCGGCCGAGCACUCUAAAUAGACUGCCUUCGUAAGGAGGAGGAAGGUGUGGACGACGUCAAGUCAUCAUGGCCCUUAUGCCCAGGGCGACACACGUGCUACAAUGGCAUAUACAAUGAGACGCAAUACCGCGAGGUGGAGCAAAUCUAUAAAAUAUGUCCCAGUUCGGAUUGUUCUCUGCAACUCGAGAGCAUGAAGCCGGAAUCGCUAGUAAUCGUAGAUCAGCCAUGCUACGGUGAAUACGUUCCCGGGUCUUGUACUCACCGCCCGUCACACCAUGGGAGUUGAUUUCACUCGAAGCCGGAAUACUAAACUAGUUACCGUCCACAGUGGAAUCAGCGACUGGG
This 1404-nucleotide ribosomal RNA is filed under the name Campylobacter coli. RNAcentral's name for it is "bacterial SSU rRNA". It matches the Rfam family "Bacterial small subunit ribosomal RNA". Lineage: Bacteria; Pseudomonadati; Campylobacterota; Epsilonproteobacteria; Campylobacterales; Campylobacteraceae. RNAcentral also lists the same sequence under 1 other name. The record is from RNAcentral.